AAAUUGAAGAGUUUGAUCAUGGCUCAGAUUGAACGCUGGCGGCAGGCCUAACACAUGCAAGUCGAACGGUAGCACAGAGAGCUUGCUCUCGGGUGACGAGUGGCGGACGGGUGAGUAAUGUCUGGGAAACUGCCUGAUGGAGGGGGAUAACUACUGGAAACGGUGGCUAAUACCGCAUAACGUCGCAAGACCAAAGAGGGGGACCUUCGGGCCUCUUGCCAUCAGAUGUGCCCAGAUGGGAUUAGCUUGUUGGUGAGGUAACGGCUCACCAAGGCGACGAUCCCUAGCUGGUCUGAGAGGAUGACCAGCCACACUGGAACUGAGACACGGUCCAGACUCCUACGGGAGGCAGCAGUGGGGAAUAUUGCACAAUGGGCGCAAGCCUGAUGCAGCCAUGCCGCGUGUAUGAAGAAGGCCUUCGGGUUGUAAAGUACUUUCAGCGGGGAGGAAGGUGUUGUGGUUAAUAACCACAGCAAUUGACGUUACCCGCAGAAGAAGCACCGGCUAACUCCGU
Molecule: ribosomal RNA, 514 nt
Filed under: Salmonella enterica
Lineage: Bacteria; Pseudomonadati; Pseudomonadota; Gammaproteobacteria; Enterobacterales; Enterobacteriaceae
Description: bacterial SSU rRNA
Rfam family: Bacterial small subunit ribosomal RNA
Source: RNAcentral